UACGUAGGGUGCGAGCGUUGUCCGGAAUUAUUGGGCGUAAAGAGCUCGUAGGUGGCUUAGUAAGUCGGCGUGUUAAAUCUCCAGGCUCAACCUGGAGUCGCACCCGAUACUGCUAUAGCUAGAGUCCGGUAGGGGCCAUGGAAUUCCUGGUGUAGCGGUGAAAUGCGCAGAUAUCAGGAGGAACACCAGUAGCGAAGGCGGUGGUCUGGGCCGACACUGACGCUGGAGGAGCGAAAGCCAGGGGAGCAAACAGG
This 254-nucleotide ribosomal RNA is filed under the name uncultured bacterium. RNAcentral's name for it is "partial 16S ribosomal RNA". It matches the Rfam family "Bacterial small subunit ribosomal RNA", at positions 524 to 776 of the family's 1533-position model. The record is from RNAcentral.